This 497-nucleotide ribosomal RNA is filed under the name uncultured bacterium. Its description in RNAcentral is "partial 16S ribosomal RNA". It matches the Rfam family "Bacterial small subunit ribosomal RNA", at positions 28 to 507 of the family's 1533-position model. The record is from RNAcentral.
GAUGAACGCUGGCGGCGUGCCUAAUACAUGCAAGUCGAGCGAACAGACGAGGAGCUUGCUCCUUCGACGUUAGCGGCGGACGGGUGAGUAACACGUAGGUAACCUACCUAUAAGACUGGGAUAACUUCGGGAAACCGGAGCUAAUACCGGAUAAUAUUUCGAACCGCAUGGUUCGAUAGUGAAAGAUGGCUUUGCUAUCACUUAUAGAUGGACCUGCGCCGUAUUAGCUAGUUGGUAAGGUAACGGCUUACCAAGGCAACGAUACGUAGCCGACCUGAGAGGGUAAUCGGCCACACUGGAACUGAGACACGGUCCAGACUCCUACGGGAGGCAGCAGUAGGGAAUCUUCCGCAAUGGGCGAAAGCCUGACGGAGCAACGCCGCGUGAGUGAUGAAGGUCUUCGGAUCGUAAAACUCUGUUAUUAGGGAAGAACAAACGUGUAAGUAACUGUGCACGUCUUGACGGUACCUAAUCAGAAAACCACGGCUAACUACGUG